Biomphalaria pfeifferi is the source of this 321-nucleotide non-coding RNA. The record is from the annotation of a GenBank genome assembly. NCBI's taxonomy places the organism in Eukaryota, Metazoa, Mollusca, Gastropoda, Planorbidae.
GCUGGACUGGUUGUCAGAGGCUAUUUGAGACGUAUGCCAUUAGGAAGCAUUUUAUAGGUAGUGGAGUGCUUACAUCCAUUACCACUUCUGGCAAUGACAAAAAUACCAUAUAUACACUAGAUCAGUUUGACCAUGGCACUAAUCAGAAAAUACCCAUUGAUAAAAUAAAGGCCUAUACAAAGCCAACUCCAUUACAUAGUAAGAAUUAAAAUAAGACAAUGUACUUAAACAGUCAGAGUUACAAUUUUUUUUAAAGGUGCUUAAAUAUUGCAUGACAUUUAAAACAGGAUAAAUUUCGAACAUUUUAAAAAAGCACAAUUA